This 687-nucleotide unclassified non-coding RNA is filed under the name uncultured Prochlorococcus sp. RNAcentral's name for it is "partial may contain 16S ribosomal RNA, 16S-23S ribosomal RNA intergenic spacer, and 23S ribosomal RNA". The stretch from base 1 to 96 matches the Rfam family "Bacterial small subunit ribosomal RNA", at positions 1438 to 1533 of the family's 1533-position model. Lineage: Bacteria; Bacillati; Cyanobacteriota; Cyanophyceae; Synechococcales; Prochlorococcaceae. The record is from RNAcentral.
CCCUUGUGGAGGAGGACGCCGAAGGUGGGGCUAAUGACUGGGGUGAAGUCGUAACAAGGUAGCCGUACCGGAAGGUGCGGCUGGAUCACCUCCUAACAGGGAGACAACAAAAUGUUAAAUAUUAAUUUUGUCACCUUAGGUCGAUCGGUAUCUCACAUCCUUGAAGUUUAUUUAAGGAUUUUAUUUCCUAAGUUUUUUCUAGGUCACACCCAUUAUUUUUCCUGGGCCAUUAGCUCAGGUGGUUAGAGCGCACCCCUGAUAAGGGUGAGGUCCCUGGUUCAAGUCCAGGAUGGCCCAUAUCUCUAUGUUGGGGGUAUAGCUCAGUUGGUAGAGCGCCUGCUUUGCAAGCAGGAUGUCAGCGGUUCGAGUCCGCUUACCUCCACUGAUUACCACCUCUCCCAUAAUUUAGAAGGGAAAUUUUUUGAGUUGUGACCAAAUUCUGAACGAAUCUAGCUUCCUAAUAAAACUUAUUAAGAUGCUGGACUCAUUGAAUUAAAUUCAUUGUUUUCAGAGAACCUUGACAACUGCAUAGAUUAUUUUAAAGACAAUAAGCAUCUUUAAUGAUGCAGAUUUAUUAUUUGUGCGAAUGCAUUAAUAACAAUUCUAUUAAGCUGAUGCUUCAAUUUUUGAAGUUAUUGGUCAAGCUACAAAGGGCUCACGGAGGAUACCUAGGCACACAGAGGCGAU